AUAAAUGAAUCAGCAUUAAUUUUAUGUUACUUUUUAGAUAGGGUAAGAUAACUUGUGGUGGUUGGCCCAGAUCUUUUUAAAAAGAAAUCCAAGAUAUCAGCAAAUAUGUCUUUACUUUCUGCUUAUAAAUAUCCAUAUAUAGUCAUUGAAAAUCUCUCCACAGAGCAGAAGAGAGAAUUUAGUGAAUGAUUUUCAAGAUGAUUGUAAGAAAAAAAUAUUACAAUGACCAUAUUUCCAGGUGAGAAAGCAAAUGAAAUUGAUGAAGAUAGAAUAUUUGAUUGGAACAGUGCGGAAAAUGUUGGGUUAUGAAUGGUAUUGCUGGAGGUCAGUGAAAAUUAUAAUUUGAAUUUAGUCUUGUUUAUUUUUAUUAGCCAUGGUAUCGUAUCUACCUCUAUAACAUUCAGUUAAAUCUGUAGUUAACUAAAAGUUCAUUUUAGUCAAAAGUUUAAUAAAAGUUUAUUUUAGUUUCUUUUAAGAAAAUAUUGAUGGACCAUUGUUAAGUAAUUUGAGUGGAUAAUGUAUUAUAAUUACCUUUAAUAGGAUAUGAAUCAUGCAAAUAAUGAAUCAGAUCAUUAUUGCCUUCAAUUCUUUCAAGAAAGCAAAUUAUCUUUUUUCUUUUUCUUUUUCUUUUUUUGUCUUGUGUCUUUUUAGGGCCACACCUGUGUCAUAUGGAGGUUCCCAGGCUAGGGGUCUAAUUGGAGCUACAGCUGCCGGCCUAUACCAGAGCCACAGCAAUGCCAGAUCCAAGCCACGUCUGCGACCUACAGCACAGCUCACAGUAAUGCCAGAUCCUUAACCCACUGAGUGAGGCCAGGGAUUGAACCUGCAACCUCAUGGUUCCUAGUCAGAUUCAUUUCUGCUGCGCCAAGAUGGGAACUCCGCAAACUAUCUCAAAAUUUAUUAAGCAACAUCCAAAACUACUGUGACUUCUCUGGCAGUUUUCAGGGGCCUGCCUCCCAGAUUUUGUACAUCUAAUUGGUGUUGUACAGAGGUCAUUUUUAUGAGAAUGUAUGAUUCCAAAAAUGAGUCUCAAAAGAGAAUUCUUAUAUUUCAGAGAAAUCAAUAUGUAUUGUUUAUAAAUAAGUGAUAUAGCUAUUAAAAGAUGUUGACUGGAAUUAUGCCUAUAUGUAGAUUGCAUUUAAAUGCUUUACCUGGUUAUAUGACAUAGCAUAUGUAAACCUUUUUUUCCUCUCUAAAAGUACAUAAACUCCUAAGCACAUAAUUUGUCGCUUUAACCAAUAUCUGGAGAUAAACUAUUGCUGGAAUAGCAUGAGCCACAUGAUUGGGUAGAACUACACCUUUCACCCUUACUUUUAGUUCACACUGUUAAGAAAUUUCCAGUAAAUAACUUUUGUCAACCCAUUUAGUAUGGAGCCUUUGCAUUUUGAACAUUGUCCAUUUUGUUAAGGAAUAUUAUGGCAACUAUUUUUUUAAAAAAAUACUUCAGUAAAUAAACUCUAAAGUUGAAAUUGGAAUUAUUUGUAUUUAAUGUUUUCAUGUGUCAAAAAGUUUUAAGGACAUAACUCAUGGUAUCUCUCUAGUAAAUCAAGAGUCAGUGUAUUUUUAAAGCACUUAACUUUUCACAGAAUGACUUUUACUUUUUCCAGAAUAGGUCAAAAUGGGAAAAAAAUGUGAUUAUUUUUAUCUAUUAUCCAGUAAACUGUAAAUAUUCUUUCUUAAACCAUGCCUAGUACAUCUUAACAAAGAAAGAAGAAAUGAAGAGAGAGAGGCAAAGAGGGCUCUUUUGGAAAUCUGCUUUUGCAUCACAUUAAGAAUUAACCUGACGAAGUUCCCAUCAGUCAUGGUGCAGUGGCAACUAAUCUACCAGGAAGCAUAAAGUCACUGGUUUAAUUCCUGACAUCACUCAGUGUGUUAAGGAUCUGGCAUUGCCCUGAGCUAUGGUGUAGGUUGCAGAAGCAGCUCAGAUCUGGUGUUGCUGUGGUUGUGGUGUAGGCCGUGGCUAUAGCUCCGAUAGACCCCUAUAUGUCAUGGGUGUGGCCCUAAAAAGACAAAAAGACACAAAAAAAAUUAACCUGAGACUUCUCUGUUCAUUCUCUGAUGUCUAUACACAAAAUACAGAUAUUCAUUUGUAUCUGUAGGAUAAUAUGUCAUAAUAUAUCAUUCCAACAUAGAAACAGUUUGGAAUACUAAGCAUGUCUCCUCUCUCACUACCAUUAAUGAUAUCUGGGUCUACCACGCAGACCUCAUGGCAUGGCCUUUAUCAUGGCCAUCGUCUAUUAGCUGUGCCUGAAAUCUGGACCUUGCUAGGUCCCACUGCUAAAAAUAUGACAGCAAAAGGAACAGAAUUUAUCAUUCUGCAACAGUGACCAGUGUAGCACUGGGUACAGUUUUGCUUUUACUUACUAAGCUGUAAAGUUUUGGAUUACAUAUAGCACAUAUAUUCUGUGCUAUGUAAUAUCAGAACAGCUGAUAUGAGUAGUGAUUAUAAUAAGGAUCAUAAUAUCUACCACUUAGUGAAUGAGCACAAAUACCAGGCACUUGGCCAAGAUCUUUUAAAUUAUUAUCCUCCGUUUAUUACAACAGCUUUGGAUGGUAAUAUUAUUCUGCCUAUUUUGAAGGAAGUAGAGGUUAAGUAACUUUGUAAGGAGUAUAUCUAGUAAUUCAACUCCAGAUCAUUAGUCACCAGAGUUAUUCCUCUUUCCAAAACUCCCACACUUAUGUUCAAAACCACUAUAGUCACUGAAGCAUUUUUGAGUAGUCACUACCAUAAAAGACAUUUGGAGUAGAGUACAUGUGAGUUCCCAGAUUUAUUUGGAGAACCACCAUUAAAGUUUUCCUGUGGAAGUCCUUCUCCUUUCUUUAUUAAAGUCAUUUUAUUUUUAACAUCAUUAUUCUAGGAGGUGGAUCAAAUAAGAUUUUGCUGUGAUUUAUGUCAGAGUGCAUUCUGCCCAUGUUUUCCUCUAGGAUUUUUAUAGUCUCUGGCGUUACAUUUAGGUCUUUAAUCCAUUUUGAGUUUAUUUUUGUGUGUAAAGUUAGAAAAUGUUCUAAUUUCAUUCUUUUACAUGUAGCUGUCUAGUUUUUCCAGCACUACUCAUUGACGAGACUAUCUUUCUUCCACUGUAUGUUACUGCCUCCUCUCUCAUAGAUUAGUUGCCCUUAGGGUCUUGGGUUUACUUCUGGGCUUUUUAUCCUGUUCCAUUGAUCUACGUUUUUGUUUUUAAUGCCAGUACCAUACUGUUUUGAUGACUGUAGCUUUGUAGUAUAGUCUAAAGUCCGAGAGCCUGAUUCUUCCAUUUCUAUUUUUCUUUUUCAAUGUUGCAUUGGCUAUUUGGGAUCUUUUGUGUUUCCAUACGUUUUAAAAUAUUUUGUCCUAUUUCUGUGAAGAAUGUCAUUGGUAAUUUGAUAGGGAUUGCACUGAAUCUGUAGGUUUCCUUGAGUAAAAAUAAACCAAUGGGACCUAAUUAAACUCAAAAGCUUUUGCACAGCAAAGGAGACCAUUAAAAAAUGAAAAGACAACCCAGAGAAUGAGAGAAAAUCUUUGCAAAUUAUGCAAUGACAUGGGCCUAUUCUCCAAAAUAUACAAACAGUUCAUAUAAUUCAACAACAAAAAAACAAACAACCCAAUCAAAAGAUGGACAUAAGACCUAAAGAGACAUUUCUCCAAAGAAGACAUAUGGAUGACCAACACGCACAUGAAAAAAUGCUCGGCAUCACUAAUUAUUAGACAAAUGCAAAUCAAAACUACAAUGAGGUACCACCUCACACUGCUCAGAAUGGCCAUCAUUAAUAAGUCAACAAAUUACAAAUGCUAGAGAGGAUGUGGAGAAAAGGGAACCCUCCUACACCAUUGGUGGGAAUAUAAAUUGAUACAACGACUAUGGAAAACAGUAUGGAGAUACCUCAGAAAACUAAAUAUAGAGCUACCAUAUGAUCCAGCAAUCCCACUCCUGAGCAUAUAUUCAGACAAAACUUUCAAACAAAAAGAUACCUGCACCCCUGUGUUCAUUGCAGCACUUUUAAAAAUAGCCAAGACAUAAAAACAACCUCAUUGGGUGUUCUCAUCUUUGCUCAGCAGAAAUGAAUCUGACUUGUAACCAUGAGGAUGCAGGGUCAAUCCCUGGCUUCACUCAGUGGGUUGAGGAUCUGGCAUUGCCGUGAGCUAUAGUGUAGGUCACAGACAUAGCUUGGAUCCCAUGUUGUUGUGGCUGUGGUGCAGGCCAGUGGCUACAACUCUGAUUCAACCCUUAGCCUGGGAAACUCCAUAUGCCAAGGGUGCGAGCCUAAAAAGACAAAAAAAAAAAAAAA
Molecule: long non-coding RNA, 4266 nt
Filed under: Sus scrofa (pig)
Lineage: Eukaryota; Metazoa; Chordata; Mammalia; Artiodactyla; Suidae
Description: lncRNA (ENSSSCG00005041083.1)
Source: RNAcentral